UCCAGACUCCUACGGGAGGCAGCAGUGGGGGAUAUUGCACAAUGGGGGGAACCCUGAUGCAGCGACGCCGCGUGAGUGAAGAAGUAUCUCGGUACGUAAAGCUCUAUCAGCAGGGAAGAAAAUGACGGUACCUGACCAAGAAGCCCCGGCUAACUACGUGCCAGCAGCCGCGGUAAUACGUAGGGGGCAAGCGUUAUCCGGAUUUACUGGGUGUAAAGGGAGCGUAGACGGCAGAGCAAGUCUGAAGUGAAAGCCCGCGGCCCAACUGCGGGACUGCUUUGGAAACUGCCCGGCUAGAGUGCUGGAGAGGUAAGCGGAAUUCCUAGUGUAGCGGUGAAAUGCGUAGAUAUUAGGAGGAACACCAGUGGCGAAGGCGGCUUACUGGACAGUAACUGACGUUGAGGCUCGAAAGCGUGGGGAGCAAACAGGAUUAGAUACCCUUGUA
This 445-nucleotide ribosomal RNA is filed under the name uncultured bacterium. RNAcentral's name for it is "bacterial SSU rRNA". It matches the Rfam family "Bacterial small subunit ribosomal RNA", at positions 330 to 792 of the family's 1533-position model. The record is from RNAcentral.